Molecule: ribosomal RNA, 494 nt
Filed under: uncultured bacterium
Lineage: Bacteria
Description: partial 16S ribosomal RNA
Rfam family: Bacterial small subunit ribosomal RNA
Source: RNAcentral
GACGAACGCUGGCGGCGUGCUUAACACAUGCAAGUCGAGCGGUGAAGCGCCUUCCUUUUUGGUGGGUGUGGAUGAGUGGCGAACGGGUGAGUAACACGUGAGUAACCUGCCCCCCUCUUCUGGAUAACCGCAUGAAAGUGUGGCUAAUACGGGAUAUUCUGGGUCUGUCGCAUGAUGGGUCUGGGAAAGAUAUUGUUUCGGUGGGGGAUGGGCUCGCGGCCUAUCAGCUUGUUGGUGGGGUGAUGGCCUACCAAGGCGGUGACGGGUAGCCGGCCUGAGAGGGUGGACGGUCACACUGGGACUGAGACACGGCCCAGACUCCUACGGGGGGCAGCAGUGGGGAAUAUUGCACGAUGGGCGCAAGCCUGAUGCAGCGACGCCGCGUGAGGGAUGGAGGCCUUCGGGUUGUGAACCUCUUUCGCCAGUGAAGCAGGCCUGCCUCGUUUGUGGGUGGGUUGACGGUAGCUGGAUAAGAAGCGCCGGCUAACUACGUG